GAUGAAGAACGUAGCGAAAUGCGAUAAUUAAUGUGAAUUGCAGAAUUCCGUGAAUCAUCGAGUUUUUGAACGCAUAUUGCGCCCCUUGGUAUUCCGAGGGGCAUGCCUGUCCGAGCGUCAUUGCAACCCUUCAAGCACGGCUUGUGUGUUGGACGGCCGCCCCAGUGUGGGCGGGUCCCAAAUGCAGUGGCGGCGCCGCGAUCCGGGUGCUCGAGUGCAUGGAAACCACGCGCUCGUUAGGCCCCGUCGGGCGCCGGCCGACCUAAUUAUCUUCGUUCUGGUUGACCUCGGAUCAGGUAGGAAUACCCGCUGAACUUAAGCAUAUCAAUAAGCGGAGGA
RNAcentral lists this unclassified non-coding RNA (339 nucleotides) under soil metagenome. Its description in RNAcentral is "partial contains 5.8S ribosomal RNA, internal transcribed spacer 2, and large subunit ribosomal RNA". The stretch from base 1 to 120 matches the Rfam family "5.8S ribosomal RNA", at positions 35 to 154 of the family's 154-position model. The record is from RNAcentral.